CUCGCAGGAAGAAUAUCUGAUCGAGCCUUAUAGCAUGUCAACAGGUGGUUCUUCAGUGGGAGUGAUGCAUGUGAUCCUUUGAUCUGAGAUCAUCAUGGUACCUUGUGUAUAUGAACCCUUACUUUGGUUUAUUCCCUAACACACCACUUUGAGAUGUGUGUGGGAUAUUCUGGGUAUGGUGAAGUGUGUAUGGAGGUUAUGAGUGGUCAAUAAGAAAUCAAUCACUCUUUGUAGGAGGAGAGAACAUCCUAUGUGAUCUCAUAGGAUGGUGACUUUGAGAGUCUUUGAUCAGAGUAGGGAUGAACAGUAGAAUAGUUUCUACUAAUUUAUCAAUCAAGUCAUCAUCAUCAGAUCGAGAUAUAUAUGGAUAGAUAUUGGAAUUUGAUAUAUUUUCAUACCCAUAAUUUUUUUGGAAUGUUGUGUGAUCGAAGGAUUAAAUUGUACGGUAAUUCACCACAGAAGGAUAAUUUUGAUAUUUUCAUCAAAUUUUAAAUCUUUUGGGUAGUCAUGAU
RNAcentral lists this long non-coding RNA (512 nucleotides) under Elaeis guineensis (African oil palm). Its description in RNAcentral is "long non-coding RNA (EGUI_LNC037484)". The record is from RNAcentral. Lineage: Eukaryota; Viridiplantae; Streptophyta; Magnoliopsida; Arecales; Arecaceae.